AGAGCCUGAUUGUGGAAAGAAGUGAGAUGCACCUUAUUUUCAAGAAGUCCUGUGAAGCGCUCUCCUAGCACGUCCAUUUCCAGGAGGAGAAGCAAGCAGAUGAGAGGUUUUCCAUUUUGUCAUCCAAGCCUGUCUUCUGAGUAAUGGGCAGAGAAGGACCAGGGUUCGUAGAAGAAGCAUGUGGCAGCUGAGUGGCAGCAGUCUUGCCCUUUCAUUUUAAUACUUGAGGACACAGAAAAUAGAAUUUUUGAGUGACGCUGCCUGUGGAUAUAUAUACUCAUACAUACAUAUAUAUAUAUACACACACACACAUAUGUAUGUAUGUAUGUAUUACUAUUCAAUCUCUUAAAAACCAAAAAACAGUAGAUCCCCUGAGGGUAGAGUCUUUAUGUAUGAACAUAUUGUUCACUGUUGUAACCACCUUGCAGGAUUUCAGUCUAUAAACUAGGUGAGAGUCCA
RNAcentral lists this small RNA (459 nucleotides) under Pan troglodytes (chimpanzee). Its description in RNAcentral is "processed transcript". The record is from RNAcentral. Lineage: Eukaryota; Metazoa; Chordata; Mammalia; Primates; Hominidae.